RNAcentral lists this ribosomal RNA (329 nucleotides) under unidentified proteobacterium. RNAcentral describes it as "bacterial SSU rRNA". It matches the Rfam family "Bacterial small subunit ribosomal RNA", at positions 1060 to 1391 of the family's 1533-position model. Lineage: Bacteria; Pseudomonadati; Pseudomonadota. The record is from RNAcentral.
UCGUGUCGUGAGAUGGUGGGUUAAGUCCCGCAACGAGCGCAACCCUCAUCCCUAGUUCCCAUCAUUCAGUUGGGCACUCUAAGGAAACUGCCGGUGAUAAGCCGGAGGAAGGUGGGGAUGACGUCAAGUCCUCAUGGCCCUUACGCGCUGGGCUACACACGUGCUACAAUGGCAACUACAGUGGGCAGCAACCUCGCGAGGGGUAGCUAAUCUCCAAAAGUUGUCUCAGUUCGGAUUGUUCUCUGCAACUCGAGAGCAUGAAGGCGGAAUCGCUAGUAAUCGCGGAUCAGCAUGCCGCGGUGAAUACGUUCCCAGGCCUUGUACACACC